CGUAGGGUGCGAGCGUUAAUCGGAAUUACUGGGCGUAAAGCGUGCGUAGGCGGUUCGUUAAGUCAGCUGUGAAAGCCCCGGGCUCAACCUGGGAACUGCGGUUGAAACUGGCGAACUAGAAUCUGGCAGAGGGGGGUGGAAUUCCACGUGUAGCAGUGAAAUGCGUAGAGAUGUGGAGGAACACCGAUGGCGAAGGCAGCCCCCUGGGCUGAGAUUGACGCUCAGGCACGAAAGCGUGGGGAGCAAACAGGAUUAGAUACCCUGGUAGUCCACGCCCUAAACGAUGUCAACUAGGUGUUGGAGGAGCAAUCCUUUGGUACCGCAGCUAACGCGUGAAGUUGACCGCCUGGGGAGUACGGUCGCAAGAUUA
This 370-nucleotide ribosomal RNA is filed under the name uncultured organism. Its description in RNAcentral is "bacterial SSU rRNA". It matches the Rfam family "Bacterial small subunit ribosomal RNA", at positions 526 to 896 of the family's 1533-position model. The record is from RNAcentral.